AUGGCGUCCUCCUCCCCUCCGCACGUCGUGGAGGAUAUGCGCCCUUUCCUCCAGCUCCUCAGCGACGGCACGGUGAUUCGUUUCCCGGACUACAACCCGCUCCCUUCCCCGUCCCCGCCGCCCGACCAGCCCGUUGUCGAGUGGAAGGACGUCGUGUACGACGCCGACCACAACCUCAAGCUCCGCGUGUACAAGCCACCGGCGGCCUCCUGUGGCGAGAAGCUCCCGGUGCUUGCCUACUUCCACGGCGGCGGGUACUUCAUGGGCAGCUUCGAGAUGCCCAACUUCCACGCCUGCUGCCUCCGCCUCGCCGGCGAGAUCCCGGCCGUGGUGCUGUCCGCGGACUACCGCCUCGCCCCGGAGCAUCGCCUCCCCGCGGCCCUCGACGACGCGGCGACCUUCCUGUCCUGGGUGCGCGGGCAGGCGGCGGCCGAGAGCGCCGACCCCUGGCUCGCGGGGUCGGCGGAUUUGAGCCGGGUGUUCGUUUGCGGCGACUCGGCCGGCGGGAACAUCGUCCACCACAUGUCCGUCCGUCUCGGGCUGGGCAGCCUCAGCCUCGACCCCGCGCGCGUCGCCGGGUGCGCGAUGCUCUGCCCGCUGUUCGGCGGGGCGCCGGCGUGCGACCAGCUGUGGCGCCUGGCGCUGCCGCCGGAGUCCACGAGGAACCGCGACCACCCGCUGGCCAACCCAUUCGCGCCCGGGGGCCCGGCGCUGGACGGCGUCGUGCUCCCGCCGAUGCUCGUGGUGGCCGCCGAGCGCGACCAGCUGCGCGGCCCAACCGCGGACUACGUCGCGAGGUUGAAGGCGAUGGGGAAGCCGGUGGAGCUCGUGGAGUUCGAGGGGCAGGACCACGGGUUCUUCGUCAUCGAGCCGUACGGCGACGCCGGAAGCGGCGUGGUCCGGGCCGUCAAGCGAUUUGUGUGCGACGACGGCUAG
This 936-nucleotide ribosomal RNA is filed under the name Triticum aestivum (bread wheat). RNAcentral describes it as "partial small subunit ribosomal RNA". Lineage: Eukaryota; Viridiplantae; Streptophyta; Magnoliopsida; Poales; Poaceae. The record is from RNAcentral.